Molecule: RNA transcript, 4019 nt
Organism: Ochotona curzoniae (black-lipped pika)
Lineage: Eukaryota; Metazoa; Chordata; Mammalia; Lagomorpha; Ochotonidae
Gene: RAD50
Gene name: RAD50 double strand break repair protein
Exons: 25
Source: RefSeq, a predicted model, not a curated record
GCGUUUGCAAACAUGUCCCGCAUCGAAAAGAUGAGCAUUCUGGGCGUGCGGAGUUUUGGAAUAGAGGAUAAAGAUAAGCAAAUUAUCAGUUUCUUCACCCCACUCACGAUUUUGGUUGGCCCCAACGGGGCGGGGAAGACGACUAUCAUUGAAUGUCUAAAAUAUAUUUGUACUGGAGACUUCCCUCCUGGAACCAAAGGAAAUACGUUUGUUCAUGAUCCCAAGGUUGCUCAAGAAACAGAUGUGAGAGCCCAAAUCCGCCUGCAGUUUCGGGAUGUCAACGGAGAGCUUGUUGCUGUGCAGAGAUCCAUGGUGUGUUCUCAGAAGAGCAAGAAGACGGAGUUUAAAACCCUGGAAGGAGUUAUUACCAGAAUCAGGCAUGGUGAGAAGGUCAGUCUGAGCUCUAAGUGUGCAGAGAUUGAUCGAGAAAUGAUAAGUUCUCUGGGCGUUUCCAAGUCUGUGUUAAACAAUGUCAUUUUCUGUCAUCAAGAAGACUCUAAUUGGCCCUUAAGUGAAGGAAAGGCUCUCAAGCAAAAGUUCGAUGAGAUUUUUUCUGCAACAAGGUACAUUAAAGCCUUAGAAACGCUUCGUCAGGUUCGUCAGACACAAGGUCAGAAAGUGAAAGAAUGUCAAACUGAACUAAAAUACCUGAAGCAAAAUAAGGAAAAAGCCUGUGAAAUCCGUGAUCAGAUUACUACUAAGGAAGCCCAGCUGACAUCUUCAAAGGAAAUUGUCAAAUCCUAUGAGAAUGAACUGGAACCACUGAAGAACCGUCUGAAAGAAAUUGAAAACAAUCUCUCCAAAAUAAUGAGACUUGACAAUGAAAUUAAAGCCUUGGAGAGCCGAAAGAAGCAAAUGCAGAAGGAUAACAGUGAACUGGAACAGAAAAUGGAAAAGGUUUUUCAAGGGACUGAUGACCAGCUAAAUGACUUGUAUCACAAUCACCAGAGAACAGUUAGAGAAAAAGAAAGGAAAUUAGUAGAUUGUCAGCGUGAACUAGAGAAAUUAAAUAAAGAGUCUAGACUUCUCAAUCAAGAAAAAUCAGAACUCCUUGUUGAACAGGGUCGUCUUCAGCUACAGGCAGAUCGCCAUCAGGAACAGAUCCGAGCUAGAGACUCAUUAAUUCAGUCCUUGGCAGCACAGCUGGAAUUGGAUGGCUUUGAACGUGGACCCUUCAACGAAAGACAAAUUAAAAGUUUUCACAAACUUGUGAGAGAGAGACAAGAAAAGGAGACAGAGACUGCCAACCAGCUGAUGAAUGACUUUGCAGAAAAAGAGACUCUGAAACAGAAACAAAUAGAUGAGAUAAGAGAUAAAAAAACUGGAUUGGGAAGAAUAAUUGAGCUAAAAUCAGAAAUCCUAAAUAAGAAGCAGAGUGAACUGAAGAAUGUGAAGUUUGAAUUACAGCAGUUGGAAGGAUCUUCAGACAGGAUUCUUGAACUGGAACAGGAGCUCAAAAAAGCCGAACGUGAAUUAAGCAAGGCUGAGAAAAACAGUAAUGUUGAAACCCUAAAAACAGAAGUAAUAAGUCUUCAAAAUGAGAAAACAGACCUAGACAGGAACCUGCGUAAACUGGACCAGGAAAUGGAGCAGUUAAAUCAUCAUACGACAACACGUACCCAGAUGGAGAUGCUGAAUAAAGACAAAGUUGACAAAGAUGAACAAAUUAGAAAAAUAAAAUCUAGGCAUAGUGAUGAAUUAACUUCACUGUUGGGGUAUUUUCCCAACAAAAAACAGCUUGAGGACUGGCUUCAUAGUAAAUCAAAAGAAAUUAAUCAGACCAGAGACAGACUUGCCAAAUUGAACAAGGAGCUAGCUUCAGCUGAGCAAAAUAAAAAUCAUAUCAACAAUGAGCUAAAAAGAAAGGAAGAGCAACUGUCAAGUUAUGAAGACAAGCUUUUUGAUGUUUGUGGAAGCCAAGAUUUUGAGAGUGAUUUAGAUAGGCUUAAAGAGGACAUUGAAAAAUCCUCAAAACAGCGAGCUAUGCUUGCUGGGGCCACGGCUGUUUACUCCCAGUUCAUUACUCAGCUGACAGAUGAAAACCAGUCGUGUUGUCCUGUCUGUCAGAGAGUUUUUCAGACAGAGGCUGAAUUACAAGAAGUCAUCAGUGAUUUGCAAUCCAAACUACGGCUUGCUCCAGAUAAACUCAAGUCAACAGAAUCAGAUCUAAAGAAGAAAGAAAAGCGGCGAGAUGAAAUGCUGGGACUUGUGCCCAUGAGGCAAAGCAUAGUAGAUUUGAAGGAGAAAGAAAUACCAGAAUUAAGAAAUAAACUACAGAAUGUCAAUAGAGAUAUACAACGCCUAAAGAAUGACAUAGAAGAACAGGAAACUCUCUUGGGCACAAUAAUGCCUGAAGAAGAAAGUGCUAAAGUAUGUCUGACAGAUGUUACAAUUAUGGAGAGGCUCCAGAUGGAACUUAAAGAUGUUGAAAGAAAAAUCGCACAGCAAGCAGCUAAGCUACAAGGAAUAGACUUAGAUCGAACUGUUCAGCAGGUGAACCAGGAAAAACAAGAGAAACAGCACAAAUUAGAUACAGUGACCAGUAAGAUUGAAUUGAAUCGGAAGCUCAUUCAGGACCAGCAAGAACAGAUACAACACCUAAAAAGCAUAACAAAUGAGCUUAAAUCAGAGAAACUUCAGAUAUCCACUAAUUUGCAGCGUCGACAGCAGCUGGAAGAGCAGACUGUGGAGUUGUCCACUGAAGUUCAGUCUUUGUUCAGAGAGAUAAAGGAUGCUAAGGAGCAGGUAAACCCUUUGGAAACAACAUUGGAGAAAUUCCAGCAGGAAAAAGAAGAAUUAGUUAGCAAAAAACACGCAAGCAACAAAGUAGCACAGGAUAAACUGAAUGACAUCAAAGAGAAGGUUAAGAAUAUUCAUGGUUAUAUGAAAGACAUUGAGAAUUACAUUCAGGACGGGAAAGAUGACUAUAAGAAGCAAAAAGAAACUGAACUUAAUAAAGUUAUAGAUCAACUAAGUGAAUGUGAGAAACACAAAGAAAAGAUAAAUAAAGACAUGGGAAUCAUGAGACAAGACAUUGACACACAGAAGAUACAGGAACGUUGGCUACAGGACAAUCUUACUUUAAGAAAAAGAAACGAGGAACUAAAAGAAGUUGAAGAAGAAAGAAAGCAACAUCUGAAGGAAAUGGGACAAAUGCAGGUUUUACAAAUGAAGAAUGAGCACCAGAAGUUGGAGGAGAAAAUAGAAAACAUAAAAAGAAAUCACAGUCUGGCAAUAGGGCGGCAGAAGGGUUAUGAGGAAGAAAUCAUUCACUUUAAGAAAGAACUUCGAGAACCUCAAUUUCGAGAUGCAGAGGAAAAGCACAGAGAGAUGAUGAUUGUUAUGAGAACUACGGAGCUUGUGAACAAGGAUCUGGACAUUUAUUAUAAGACUCUGGACCAAGCAAUAAUGAAAUUUCACAGUAUGAAAAUGGAGGAGAUCAAUAAGAUUAUUCGUGAUCUUUGGCGAAGCACCUACCGCGGACAAGAUAUUGAAUAUAUAGAAAUUCGCUCUGAUGCUGAUGAAAACGUCUCAGCUUCGGAUAAAAGGCGGAAUUACAAUUACCGUGUGGUGAUGCUGAAGGGGGACACAGCCUUGGACAUGCGUGGACGAUGCAGUGCUGGGCAGAAGGCAGGUCUUAGCCUCACUCAUCAUUCGCCUGGCCCUGGCUGAAACCUUCUGCCUUAACUGCGGCAUUCUUGCUUUGGAUGAGCCCACGACAAAUCUGGACCGAGAGAACAUCGAGUCGCUCGCACAUGCACUGGUGGAGAUAAUAAAAAGUCGUUCACAGCAGCGAAACUUCCAGCUUCUGGUUAUCACUCAUGAUGAAGACUUUGUGGAGCUUCUAGGACGUUCUGAAUAUGUGGAGAAAUUCUACAGGAUCAAGAAGAACAUUGAUCAGUGCUCAGAGAUCGUCAAGUGCAGCGUGAACUCCCUGGGGUCUUACGUUCAUUAAAAUCCCUCGGCACGGAAACUGCCAAAGAGCUGGGUCAGCAAUAAAACACAGGGCGUAAAAGGUG